Long non-coding RNA from Lemur catta (Ring-tailed lemur), 3938 nucleotides. RefSeq lists it as uncharacterized. The transcript has 3 exons. The record is from RefSeq and is a predicted model, not a curated record. Lineage: Eukaryota; Metazoa; Chordata; Mammalia; Primates; Lemuridae.
CAGGUGCCCAGGGAACCCAGGAUUUCCCAGUCUCGGGCUUCUGCCCAAGCCCUGGGCUGCAGCCACCUGACAUAGAGGACGCAGGAGCUGGGCUGAUUCGCCCUUGCCAGUCCCUCCAUGCAGGGGAGAUCCAGGUCCUGCAUGAGGACCUGAAGACUGUAUUUGCAGGCCUAGAACUUUCCAGAGGGCAAUUCAGUGGCUGCUCCCACCCUGACCCCUAUUGUUGUUGCUUGUAGGGAACCCAAUAGAAUGUGCUUUUCCAAGUGGGCGAGAGGGGAACAGGGUGAAGAAAUAGAGAUUCUAGGAAUAGACCCAGCCAACUUUGGGGAGACUUUCCAUCUUGAGGGGAACACGACUGAGACCCCAGGUUUUGGGGACCCUGGGUUGUUUUAGCCAGCUGACCCCGCUGGAGUUUCUCUAGCCUGUCACUGUUAGAAUAUUCUUCUGUAGCCAAUCAACCAACAAUUAAUUGAGGCUCUUGUGUACCCAGCCUAAGACAAACAGAUCGCAGUUCUAAAUACUGGCUCAGGCGCUGCCCAGCUGUGCAAUCCUGGGUAAUUGCUCUAACCUCUCUGAAUUCCAAGUGCCUUGAUGCUCCUUGGCUCAGUGUCUAGAAUAUAGGAGAUCUCCACCCCCACACCCAACUAACGUUGCACGGGAGAUGAGAAUCGCAGAGCGCGGGGGCUGGCAGGAAACUUCUUCCCUUCCCUCAAGGAGCAAAGCCAGAGAGACGCUAUGGAAUGCCCAGGUCACACAGCCAGGAGCAGGACCUAGGUUGUCAUGGCGGAACCUUCAAAGGGUGUCCCUUCCCGCCCUUCUGGGCCUGGAUGAGGCAGCUUCCCGGCUUGCUGAGUCAGGGUGGAGAGAGGCUGAGCUGUGGAUUGGCAGGCGGGAAUGACAGGAGUGUGAGGGUGGGGUGUCGUGGGGAAGUCGGGGGCAGAAGAGUAGCCAGCAUGUUGCGCAAGGAAGAGUGGAGGCAGGGGAGGGUCCGUUUUAACGAGGCAGCCAAAGAGGAGGGGGGCUGGCUCCCUGGACAGAAGGCCACCCGCCCCCCUGACGGUGCUCCCUGCUGCAGGGAUCAAAGCUGCUCUGGGCACCAUUCCCUGGGAACAGGGCAGCGGUGCGGGGCCACUAACGCCCGAGCUUCUCACAGGUGCCUGUGUGAUGUAGCUGCCUCCGUGGCCUUCGUGCCCAGCUCACCGCCCCCGCUUGCUUCUGAAGAGGCCUGUUCCAGCCCAAUUGUCCCUUCACGCCUCCGGCUUGGGUUGCUGACUCAGCCCUCUGGAUUGAUGUGCAGGGGCACCUGUGGCUGCAGACUGCACACUUCAUCCGUGCCCUAGGUGGCUUCCCCACCUCAGCACCACCUCCGUCUCCCUCUGUUCUCCAGCGUGGCUCAGGACGCAGCUAAGCUUAUGUGCUCAGUGACCCCAGUCUCUGACUCUCAGCUUGGCCUGUGGACUUGACAUAGGUCAGCAAAGUGAGUGCGGUGGGCCUGGCCCUUGCCCUACCCUGGACCUUUUCAAAUCUUAGCUCCAGGUUGACACCUGCAGGUCCCUCCAUGAGCCUCCUAGGUGGGAGGCUCCUCUGUCUCUCUCUCAGCUGCUGUUCCUGCAGUGCCACCGAGAGGCCCAGCUCAGGCCAGAAGGCCCAGGUCUGUGUCACGUUACCCACCACGGGGGGCUGGCUUUGGUUGUGGCACAGAAGCCAGCCGGGGAGGGGAGGUGAGGAAGUGUGGCCGAGCAGGGCAGCUGGGAGAGUCCUCUGGCCAAGGCCGGAGGACACAUUAGGUGGUGAUGGGUGGAAAGAUCCGAAGAGGGAGCGGGAACUGGGCUUUCUUCAAAAUCACAGGGAGAAAAGAAUUUGAACUUCUUUGUGGGGGUUGUGAACGCUAGAGAAUGGUUUCUUCAAUACGACUAAGAUGGCUUCUGAGGUUCUCCAAUACGUUCACCUUAGGGCUGCUUCUGUCUUCCACGGCCGCGGCCCCCUAUUCCUCCUCUCCUCUAGCCUCCGCUCAACAUUUUUCUGGAGAUUUUUGAGGUCUUUGGAUGGGCAUUAGUUCACUCAUUUUGCAGAUGAGAAAACAGAGACUUAGAAAGAUCUGGUGAUUUACUUACAGAUGCACAGCCAGGAAACUCAGCAGGUCUCCCUGGCUUCAAAGCCUGUGCUCGCUCCAUCACACCCUCACGCAGAUGUGCACGGUGUGUGCAUGUGCACAGCUGCGGUUUAUAUAUUCCAGUGCGUGUGAUUUCCCAGGAGCCCUUAGAGAAUUGUUUACUGGGCUCUCUUCCCUCCCUCCCCUCUUCUCUUUCCCCCUCUCCCCCCUUCCUCCUUCCUUCCCUCCCUCCCUUCCUUUUCUUCCCCUUCCUUGUGUUCUUUCUUUCCCCCCAGAUGAUGCGAUGGGCUAUCUUUGUUCGUGGUGUGUUUUCUCUCCAGGACUUAGAGGAUUAGAAAUGCUGGCAUUUGUCUCUCUGCAGCUUCAAGAACACCAGCUCCUAGGCCCGAGGAGGAGGAAAGUGGUUUUAUAGCUCUCACCUGAGUCUUGGCACCAAUGUGGCUUCUAGGUGAAAUGGAGUUUCUCUGAACUGGGAUGGACGAGCACUGGGUCCUGAUGGGUCACCGUGUGGAGUCACCAGCGUUACAGGCAGCAGAAGCGGGUCCACGGGCCAGCAGUGGUGGAGAGGACCACCCCACCCAGUGUGAGAGACUAAUUCCUGAUGGCUGUCCACAGAAGGACACAUCCUCCUAGUGAUGUUUGCUUGGGCUGAGCCAAAAUGAAGAGGGCCUGUGUGGGCCAGGGGUGUCAGCUGGACUUCUCCGUGGGCAGAGCCGGUAGCCCACUCCCAGGGAACUCCACGCACUCCCUGGUUUCUGCUCAUGACACUGCAAUAAUACUGCAAUCAUUUGCAUCACGGUUUUAACUUUUCAAAACCUUUUGCAGCCAACAUUUCAUUUCACGUCAGCUGUGAGGGAGGCCAAACAGGUGUUGCAGGUUAGCUGAGGACACAGACGCAGAGAGGCUGUGUGAUGAUGGAGUGUGGUCAUGAAAAGGCACUGGUUUAAGAGCCAGGAGUUCAGGGUUCCAGUCCAGUGCCAAGUUCAGGCAACCAUGUGGGCCUCUGUUGAAAUGUUUGGACAGGAUGGCCACCAAGCCCCUCACCAUCAAGGCUGUGAUUUGAUGACUGUCCAAGUUCCUGCAGUUAGCUUGGGGUCAAAUGGGACACGGCUGUGCUCAACUGGCUGCUCACGAUUCACGGGGCCAGAUGCUGAUUUGCCCAUCAUACGAUGGCUCCAGGCAGGUCCCGCCAUCCUGACACGGCUCUCUCUCCUUUGGGUGUUGGCGCAUCCUCUCAGGUGCCUGGGGGUGGUUGUGGGGUGGUGGACGGGGGUAUUGUGCCACACACAGAGAGGCACAGCGGGCUGGAGCAGAUGGAAUUGUUGGGGACGAGGUCCCCCACUGCAACCCCUGUCAGAGGCACUGUGGGCAGGAACCCUGUGCCCCAUGAAAGCCCCUGUAAUUCAUGCCAUCUGCCCGCAUAAAACCAGCACAUCUCCAGAGUCUGAUUCUCCACAUGGCUUUGGGGGCCUAAUCAAAGCCAGGCCCCUCCCUGGUCUGCUAACAGUCUUCAGCCAUCCUGGCUCCAGGCCCCCUUAACCCCUUCACCCCCAGCUUCCUCUCCCUCCCCGGGAUCUCUGCUCUGCUGCCCUUUCCGUGCCCUGGACUAGGUCACACACAGGAGGUCAUCCUAAAGCCAAGUGCGAUUUCCUGGGAGAAUGGCCCAGGCUGGGAUCAGGAGUCCUGGGCUCCUCUCCUGGGGCCACUGCUGACUUGCUGUGUGGCUUUGAGAAAGUCAUGUAACCUUGUGAAGCCUCAGUUUCCCUAUUUUUGGCAACCUACAUUUAUAUUGCAAUAAAGAGCUUACAAAAUUACUUUUUACCUA